UGGAAGUAAAAGUCGUAUUUGAGGUAUCCGUUGGUGAACCAGCGGAGGGAUCAUUACCGAGUUUACAACUCCCAAACCCAAUGUGAACGUUACCAAACUGUUGCCUCGGCGGGGUCACGCCCCGGGUGCGUCGCAGCCCCGGAACCAGGCGCCCGCCGGAGGAACCAACCAAACUCUUUCUGUAGUCCCCUCGCGGACGUAUUUCUUUACAGCUCUGAGCAAAAAUUCAAAAUGAAUCAAAACUUUCAACAACGGAUCUCUUGGUUCUGGCAUCGAUGAAGAACGCAGCGAAAUGCGAUAAGUAAUGUGAAUUGCAGAAUUCAGUGAAUCAUCGAAUCUUUGAACGCACAUUGCGCCCGCCAGUAUUCUGGCGGGCAUGCCUGUCCGAGCGUCAUUUCAACCCUCGAACCCCUCCGGGGGAUCGGCGUUGGGGAUCGGGACCCCUCACACGGGUGCCGGCCCCUAAAUACAGUGGCGGUCUCGCCGCAGCCUCUCCUGCGCAGUAGUUUGCACAACUCGCACCGGGAGCGCGGCGCGUCCACGUCCGUAAAACACCCAACUUUCUGAAAUGUUGACCUCGGAUCAGGUAGGAAUACCCGCUGAACUUACACAUAUCAAUAAGCGGAGGAAC
This 631-nucleotide ribosomal RNA is filed under the name Trichoderma asperellum. Its description in RNAcentral is "eukaryotic LSU rRNA". The stretch from base 241 to 394 matches the Rfam family "5.8S ribosomal RNA". Lineage: Eukaryota; Fungi; Ascomycota; Sordariomycetes; Hypocreales; Hypocreaceae. The record is from RNAcentral.